UGGGGAAUUUUGGACAAUGGGCGAAAGCCUGAUCCAGCAAUGCCGCGUGUGUGAAGAAGGCCUUCGGGUUGUAAAGCACUUUUGUCCGGAAAGAAAUGGCUCUGGUUAAUACCGGGGGUCGAUGACGGUACCGGAAGAAUAAGGACCGGCUAACUACGUGCCAGCAGCCGCGGUAAUACGUAGGGUCCAAGCGUUAAUCGGAAUUACUGGGCGUAAAGCGUGCGCAGGCGGUUGUGCAAGACCGAUGUGAAAUCCCCGGGCUUAACUUGGGAAUUGAAUUGGAGACUGCACGGGUAGAGUGUGUAAGAGGGGGGUAGAAUUCCACGUGUAGCGGUGAAAUGCGUAGAGAGGUGGAGGAAUACCGAUGGCGAAGGCAGCCCCCUGGGAUAACACUGACGCUCAUGCACGAAAGCGUGGGGAGCAAACAGG
Molecule: ribosomal RNA, 429 nt
Filed under: Bacillota bacterium
Lineage: Bacteria; Bacillati; Bacillota
Description: Firmicutes bacterium partial 16S ribosomal RNA
Rfam family: Bacterial small subunit ribosomal RNA
Source: RNAcentral